Molecule: long non-coding RNA, 754 nt
Organism: Populus trichocarpa (black cottonwood)
Lineage: Eukaryota; Viridiplantae; Streptophyta; Magnoliopsida; Malpighiales; Salicaceae
Exons: 2
Source: RefSeq, a predicted model, not a curated record
CCCAAAACAAAAGUGGUAGCGUAGAGCUGCCGGGCACAGGCGACUAUAUACGCACACCCCUUAUGUGGUAAAGGCUGCAAGGCAAAACCCUAAAGAUAAGUAGAUGCGCUGAAGCUUUUGCACGCUCUCGUAAUGCUUCAUUCUCACAACGGCAAAGUGUUAUUGCAUCAUCCUAAUGAUUAUCAUCAGCCGUCGUGGGAAUGAACAUUAUGAGACUGUGUAUACAGAUAGAUUCAUUAAAGCGUAUGUUUUUUUUUUAAAAUAAGUAAAACAAUAUGUGUGAUUCCUUCCAAUUCCAUUUGCUUAGUUUAUUUUCAUCGUCCCUUAAAGAAAUUAAGAACAAGUGGCAUUGGAGGUAUCCCAUGUAAUGUUUUUUACUGUGUACUUGUCUUUUUUUACAUCGUACGGUUUCUGGGCACGAGGAUGUCUUGUAUUAAGCCAUCACCAGACAACAGGCUGGAUUGGCAGGAAGAAAUGAAUUUUGUCUUAAUCAUGCAAAUCUCGAUGGGUCUUAAUCCCAUGUAUUCAGCGAUGUCGUGGGUUUUUUCACGAAGGCAAAGCUUUCGAGUUGUAGGUGUUCUUGGAAAAUUUUGAGUUAAUAGUUGAUAGCUUCUUCAAUUUUUUUGUAUGAUGCAAGCUAUAGAUUUGAAUCCUUCCCUUUUUGUUGUAAUUACCAUAAUUGAUAGUGAUCAAAGUUUAUUUUCAUUUUACAGUAUACAAGCUGGAAUAUUUAUAGAGUACAUUCUUGAUUUAA